AGGACGAACGCUUGCGACGUGCCUAAGAAAUGCAAGUCGAACGGAUCAUCCUUCGGGGUGAUUAGUGGCGAACGGUCGCGUAACACGUGGGCAACCUGCCCUGAAGCGGGGGACAACAAGCCGAAAGGUUUGCUAAUACCGCAUGUGGAUCGCCUCGGCAUCGAGGAUUAUCCAAAGCCGCAAGGCACUUCAGGAUGGGCCCGCGGCCUAUCAGCUAGUUGGAGGGGUAACGGCCCACCAAGGCUUCGACGGGUAGCUGGUCUGAGAGGACGAUCAGCCGGAUUGGGACUGAGAUACGGCCCAGACUCCUACGGGGGGCAGCAAUUAGGAAUCUUGCACAAUGGGCGAAAGCCUGAUGCAGCGACGUCGCGUGGGGGAUGAAAUCUUUCGGGAUGUAACCCUUUGAGUGGGAAGAAAAAUGACGGUACCACUCGAAUAAGCCCGGACUAACUACGUGCCAGCAGCCGC
This 468-nucleotide ribosomal RNA is filed under the name uncultured bacterium. RNAcentral describes it as "SSU rRNA". It matches the Rfam family "Bacterial small subunit ribosomal RNA", at positions 26 to 518 of the family's 1533-position model. The record is from RNAcentral.